GGGUGCUUGCAAAUGCAACAGUGGAGAAGCAGAAGCUCCUUCCCCGGCGCCUGUGCUUUUAGCUUCUGGCACGGCUGGAUCACCAGCUGCCGUAUCAUCCGCAGAAUGACCCAAGGGUAAUUUGCCCAGCCGAGCUCUGGCUCAGCUUUCAAACUAGACCUGCCGCACUGGCUGUACAGGAGACCCUGCAGGUGCCCCUUGCUGAAAGGAUCAUUGUUAUUCCACGGAAAUGACCUUUGGAUUCCAAUUGCCUUUAUUUAAAAUGAAACAAAAACAACUCUAACCACGCUCUGAGCAAAAACAAAUUAGCUGUUAUUGCUGCACAACUCUACGUACGCUGCAGUAAUCUUCCAGGCUUCUCUUUCUGACAGGUCAGUCAAUAAAUGGUGCUGUGUUAACUCAUCGCCACUGAGGCUCCCACGCAGGUGAAAAUGUUUCUGAUUUUUCUCAAGGAUCGCUCUUUGCUGUCACACUACAAGUUCUCAGGAACUCAGCUUCAUCUGCAUUUUGUCAAGAGGGGCACAGGUGAACUGUAAAAACAAAUUUAGAAAUCA
This is a long non-coding RNA of Rhea pennata, 554 nucleotides long. RefSeq lists it as uncharacterized. The record is from RefSeq and is a predicted model, not a curated record. NCBI's taxonomy places the organism in Eukaryota, Metazoa, Chordata, Aves, Rheiformes, Rheidae. The transcript is spliced from 2 exons.